UGGGAAAGUACAUAUCAGAGAGCAGAAGGCAGCUCCGCGCUCGCACUCCUCCGCUACCCCACCGCGCUCCUGUCUCUGCUCUCUACGCUGCCCAAGGGCCCCUCGCCACCGCCACCAUGGACGCCAUCAAGAAGAAGAUGCAGAUGCUGAAGCUCGACAAAGAGAACGCCUUGGAUCGAGCAGAGCAGGCGGAGGCUGACAAGAAGGCGGCGGAAGACCGGAGCAAACAGCUGGAAGAUGAGCUGGUGUCACUGCAAAAGAAACUCAAGGGCACUGAAGAUGAACUCGACAAAUACUCUGAGGCUCUCAAAGAUGCCCAGGAGAAGCUGGAGCUGGCGGAGAAAAAGGCCACAGAUGCUGAAGCUGAUGUGGCGUCUCUGAACAGACGCAUCCAGCUGGUUGAGGAGGAGUUGGAUCGUGCACAGGAGCGUCUGGCCACAGCUCUGCAGAAGCUGGAGGAGGCUGAGAAGGCCGCAGAUGAGAGUGAGAGAGGCAUGAAGGUCAUUGAAAGCCGAGCCCAAAAGGAUGAAGAAAAGAUGGAAAUUCAGGAGAUCCAACUGAAAGAGGCCAAGCACAUUGCUGAAGAUGCUGACCGCAAGUAUGAAGAGGUGGCCCGUAAGCUGGUCAUCAUUGAAAGUGACCUGGAGCGUGCAGAGGAGCGGGCUGAGCUCUCGGAAGGCAAAUGUGCCGAGCUUGAAGAAGAAUUGAAAACGGUGACGAACAACUUGAAGUCACUGGAGGCUCAGGCUGAGAAGUACUCGCAGAAGGAAGACAAAUAUGAGGAGGAGAUCAAGGUUCUUUCUGACAAGCUGAAGGAGGCUGAGACUCGGGCUGAGUUUGCAGAGAGAUCAGUAACUAAAUUGGAGAAAAGCAUCGAUGACUUAGAAGAUAAGUUUCUUUGCUUCACACCUCCCAAGACUCCUUCAUCAAGCUGGAUGUCCCACCUCUCUGAGCUCUGCAUCUGUCUGUUCUCCAGCUGACCCAGGUUUCCUUUUAGCGCCCGCCCUAGGGCCAGGCACACACUGUGCUCUCUAUUGUACAGGAUCUAUUCACCCAGUGUAAAAUAAACACUAUCAACUCUACCAUCAACUCGAGCAAAACCGCCGCCUAACUAACGAACUAAAGCUGGCUCUGAAUGAGGAUUAAAAACUUGUGUGCACAAACUUGGGUGGAGUUCUAGGAAUGCAACCCAUGUGCAGGAAAUCUAUGAUUCAUGGAGUUGAAAAGGAUCAUGUUCUACACAAAUGGAUAGGAAAGGCAUUGUUGGAAGGCCAGCCUUGCCUCAAUUUCCUCUGUAUAUAUCAGUUGAAUCCUCAUUAGCACCAAAAGUUUUUAUGACAUAUAUAUAUAUAAGUGAAAAUAUUUAUACCAGUCAAUUCAACCCUUCCUGCAUCAACAGGUCCUCUUUGAACUCACUGAUGAGUCCCCCCCAAAAAAAGCCACUUUUUUUUUCUGUUUCCUCUAAACAGCUGUGAGUCCUGCUUUAAAUAUCUAUUACAAAUUUGUAUUCCUAACAUCUUCAUAACAUGUAUAGUGUUUGAAAUGUGAUUCAAUGUACCUAUGCUUGGGCAAAAUAGCUUUUGAAAACAGGAGCUCAUCAGAAGUCCCUGGUUGAAAGGUACGCUUUGUUCGGUUUAACGGUGUUGGAAUCUGAUGAGUGUCAUGCUAAUAAGUAGGAAACUAUAAAAAUACUAAGAGAAUGUCCUAAUGAAGUGUGCAUGAGAUGUGUCGAUAACCCUUUGUGAGCAGUAGAAAUAAGCCAUUUAAAAAGCAGUCAGAAACCUAUUUGUGCCAUCUUUGCUUCUGUGAGGUUGUGUGCUUACACAGCUACCAGAUCUUUAACUGUCGAUAACUUAGAAUCCUGUCCUGGCAUUAACUUCAUUUUGUGUAACAGUGCUGUAUCUGUGUUUGGUUUUUACCCCUCCCUUGUUCCCACAGCAGGCAGUGGGUGAGCCUUCACCAAACACACCGUGCGCUUCAGGGUAGAUGGAUGGUGGAGGUGCACCCAGGGCCUUGUCUGGAAAUGAGUGAUGUCUUACGCAUGUAGAGUGCUAUUCCUCUUCUGUGUGUGUGAUUGAUGUUUGCUUACUAAAUGGACAAACCACUACCGAGUCUGAUGUGCAGCUAUUCAUGACUUAAUUUUCUAAUCCCA
Molecule: RNA transcript, 2152 nt
Organism: Mesocricetus auratus (golden hamster)
Lineage: Eukaryota; Metazoa; Chordata; Mammalia; Rodentia; Cricetidae
Gene: Tpm1
Gene name: tropomyosin 1
Exons: 10
Source: RefSeq, a predicted model, not a curated record